Molecule: ribosomal RNA, 769 nt
Filed under: uncultured fungus
Lineage: Eukaryota; Fungi
Description: LSU rRNA
Rfam family: Eukaryotic large subunit ribosomal RNA
Source: RNAcentral
AUUACCCUCAGUAACGGCGAGUGAAGCGGUAACAGCUCAAAUUUGAAAUCCCGGUUUCUUUCAGGGUCCGAGUUGUAAUUUGUAGAAGAUGUUCCCUUGUGUGGCUCCGGUCUAAGUUCCUUGGAACAGGACGUCGUAGAGGGUGAGAAUCCCGUAUGUGACUGGCUGCCUCCGCCCAUGUGAAACUCUUUCGACGAGUCGAGUUGUUUGGGAAUGCAGCUCAAAAUGGGUGGUAAAUUUCAUCUAAAGCUAAAUAUUGGCCAGAGACCGAUAGCGCACAAGUAGAGUGAUCGAAAGAUGAAAAGCACUUUGGAAAGAGAGUUAAACAGUACGUGAAAUUGUUGAAAGGGAAGCGCUUGCAAUCAGACUUGCGCGCGGCCGAUCAUCCGGGGUUCUCCCCGGUGCACUCGGUCGCGUUCAGGCCAGCAUCGGUUUGGGUGGUGGGAUAAAGGCCUUGGGAAUGUAGCUUCUUUCGGGGAGUGUUAUAGCCCUCGGUGCAAUGCCGCCUAUCCAGACCGAGGACCGCGCUUCGGCUAGGAUGCUGGCGUAAUGGUUGUAAGCGACCCGUCUUGAAACACGGACCAAGGAGUCUAACACUUAUGCGAGUAUUUGGGUGUCAAACCCAUAUGCGUAAUGAAAGUGAACGGAGGUGAGAACCCUUAAGGGUGCAUCAUCGACCGGUCCUGAUGUCUUCGGAUGGAUCUGAGUAAGAGCAUAAUUGUUAGGACCCGAAAGAAGGUGAACUAUGCCUGAAUAGGGUGAAGCCAGA